Fukomys damarensis (Damara mole-rat) is the source of this 1601-nucleotide long non-coding RNA. The record is from Ensembl. NCBI's taxonomy places the organism in Eukaryota, Metazoa, Chordata, Mammalia, Rodentia, Bathyergidae.
UUGGGCUACCAACGUCACUGGUUCGGCCGGCUAAAAUUCCCACGUCUCCCAGCACACCGUGUCCUCACACCCACAGGGCCUGCCCCACACUGGCCCACUGACACGCCUGGCCUCACCUGUGGCUGACUCAGCCACCGGCCCCCACACCACUCCUAUCACCCCAACAGCCACCCAGUGCCCCAGAUUGGUGCCAUCUGAACGACUCCCGGGCUCCACACUGGCCUAAGCAAGACCUCUGCGCUCCCUGAGACAUCCUCUGUCAUCCUCUCAGAUCCUCCCACACUCUCCUCUUGUCUCCUUCCAUCUUUAUUAGUGUACCUCACCGUUAUCCUUGAAACCCCAUUUCUGCCCCUGGCUUCUCAGGUCUCUCCCAGACUCUCCGCUAAGGCCCGAAUCUGAGUGUUGGAGCAUCAUCACCUCCAUCCACCCUAGAUAUUCGGGGCUGGGCUGUCAUUUCUAACUGCUGGAGAAGAGAACCCUGGAGGCUGCGAGGACAGGCAGGCGGAGUGUGGCAGAGGUCUAGGAGGCACAGGCGGUGACAUGGUGUCCAGGGUGCUCAGAAGCACAAGGAAACAGGUACAGAAUAACUUUUCCUGGCCAGGCCCUGUCUAGGCAAAGUUCCUGCUUUCCUAACUGCCUUGAGGGACGUCCUUCAUCCCACCAUUGCGUCCUCAUGUCUCCUCAGCAAAGCCUUGCGGAGGCCGCCGAGCCACACCCCAGCGGGUUCAGAGACAAAGAUGGCGUGAAGGUGCCCAAGCUCUGCGAAGACUCGAUGAGACCUGAGGAGACAUGGGGGAGGGAGAAGAGGAAAAGGGCCGAAAAGGGACCACGCUCCUCCUCCUCCCAAUUGCACUGCAACAGUGUGGGGCAAGCAGCAGUUCCAGCAAUCAAUCCCAGCCCCGGGAGAGGACCCUUCCGUCCAGGGACACGCAGCGGGCUGCUACAAGUCUGAGGGCGACUCCUCCUGACCCUGCUGCCGCCCGCCCACCCUGCUAUUUUGCUGGCCAGAAAGGAAGAACAGAACCUCUACCUUCCUCGUGGAUGGAAACGCUCUCCAGUCCCCCUCCUGCGGCAGGAGGAGGCAGCACUUUCUACUUACCUCUGCUGCCAGAAGCUGAGACGGGAGAUUCUCCGGGAGAAAGAGCCGGAAGCUAGGGCAGAGGGCAGAGGAGAAGAGGCCCCUGUGAGUCUCCUUCUCCCUCUCUGGUUCUGCCCAUUCCUACCACACUGUGCCUCUCGGCUCUUUUCUCACUGCUCUGUCAGGUCUGGAUCUUGAUUUAGCCAAACAUUACCAUCACUGGAAGAGCUGGGCCUUCCACACGGAUGUUUUCAUCUACCUGCACCGGAUAGCUCUGUUGCCUAAGAGCUAGCAGGAGAGACCCCAGGUGGGGAUCUGCAGGAGCCAGGUAGGCUGGCAGAGGGGAGCUGGCCACAGUGCAGAUACAGCCCAAGCCUGGCCCAGGGGCCUGGUCCCCGCUCCCUCCAGGUCCAGGCAUUCUGGCAUUGAGGCUUCAGUGAGCUGUCCACAGCCUAACUCUUUCCAGAAAAUGCCAAUACCCUGCCCGUCCAUGUGCACCAGGCCUAGGCAGGCAGGAGAGGCC